AGAGUUUGAUCAUGGCUCAGAUUGAACGCUGGCGGCAGGCUUAACACAUGCAAGUCGAACGGUAACAGGAGAAAGCUUGCUUUCUUGCUGACGAGUGGCGGACGGGUGAGUAAUGCUUGGGAAUCUGGCUUAUGGAGGGGGAUAACUACGGGAAACUGUAGCUAAUACCGCGUAAUAUCUUCGGAUUAAAGGGUGGGACUUUCGGGCCACCUGCCAUAAGAUGAGCCCAAGUGGGAUUAGGUAGUUGGUGGGGUAAAGGCCUACCAAGCCGACGAUCUCUAGCUGGUCUGAGAGGAUGACCAGCCACACUGGAACUGAGACACGGUCCAGACUCCUACGGGAGGCAGCAGUGGGGAAUAUUGCACAAUGGGGGGAACCCUGAUGCAGCCAUGCCGCGUGAAUGAAGAAGGCCUUCGGGUUGUAAAGUUCUUUCGGUGAUGAGGAAGGAGUUUGUUUUAAUAGAACAAGCAAUUGACGUUAGUCACAGAAGAAGCACCGGCUAACUCCGUGCCAGCAGCCGCGGUAAUACGGAGGGUGCGAGCGUUAAUCGGAAUGACUGGGCGUAAAGGGCACGCAGGCGGUGACUUAAGUGAGAUGUGAAAGCCCCGAGCUUAACUUGGGAAUUGCAUUUCAUACUGGGUCGCUAGAGUAUUUUAGGGAGGGGUAGAAUUCCACGUGUAGCGGUGAAAUGCGUAGAGAUGUGGAGGAAUACCGAAGGCGAAGGCAGCCCCUUGGGAAUAUACUGACGCUCAUGUGCGAAAGCGUGGGGAGCAAACAGGAUUAGAUACCCUGGUAGUCCACGCUGUAAACG
Molecule: ribosomal RNA, 811 nt
Filed under: uncultured bacterium
Lineage: Bacteria
Description: bacterial SSU rRNA
Rfam family: Bacterial small subunit ribosomal RNA
Source: RNAcentral